AACAAAUGAGAAUUAUGGUUUUGACUCAAACAACAAAACGGAUGUGUGAGAUAAAGCUGUUUUCACACAUACAGGUAAUUCACUUCUCGUUCCUCACCUAAAGGUUUAAUUCAUUUUAACUUUAGUCACGUUACCUUUACCCUAUUUUCACUUGUUGCUGAGUAACGUACAUCAACAUCCCAAGGUCUCGUGAAU
Molecule: long non-coding RNA, 195 nt
Organism: Etheostoma spectabile (orangethroat darter)
Lineage: Eukaryota; Metazoa; Chordata; Actinopteri; Perciformes; Percidae
Exons: 3
Source: RefSeq, a predicted model, not a curated record